Molecule: ribosomal RNA, 504 nt
Filed under: uncultured bacterium
Lineage: Bacteria
Description: partial 16S ribosomal RNA
Rfam family: Bacterial small subunit ribosomal RNA
Source: RNAcentral
AUUGAACGCUGGCGGCAGGCCUAACACAUGCAAGUCGAACGGUAGCACAGAGAGCUUGCUCUCGGGUGACGAGGGGCGGACGGGUGAGUAAUGUCUGGGAAACUGCCCGAUGGAGGGGGAUAAUUACUGGAAACGGUAGCUAAUACCGCAUAACGUCGCAAGAACAAAGUGGGGGACCUUCGGGCCUCACACCCGCGGAUGUGCCCCGGUGGGAUUAGCUAGUAGGGGGGGUAAUGGCUCACCUAGGCCACGAUCCCUAGCUGGUCUGAGAGGAUGACCAGCCACACUGGAACUGAGACACGGUCCAGACUCCUACGGGAGGCAGCAGUGGGGAAUAUUGCACAAUGGGCGCAAGCCUGAUGCAGCCAUGCCGCGUGUAUGAAGAAGGCCUUCGGGUUGUAAAGUACUUUCAGCGGGGAGGAAGGCGGUGAAGUUAAUAACUUCACCGAUUGACGUUACCCGCAGAAGAAGCACCGGCUAACUCCGUGCCAGCAGCCGCAGUAA